UUAAUUUUUGUUUGUUUUGUCAGACGAUUACAGGUAUUACAAAGGGUUUAUUGUGGUCCCCAUUGGCGGGCGAGCCCGCCGAGGAAACGAAAGGUACUCAAAAAGGCAAGGGUUCUAUCUCGAGAGGGCCGAAGCCCCACGAUAAUGAUCCUUCCGCAGGUUCACCUACGGAAA
RNAcentral lists this unclassified non-coding RNA (174 nucleotides) under uncultured fungus. RNAcentral's name for it is "sequence contains ITS1". The record is from RNAcentral. Lineage: Eukaryota; Fungi.